ACGUAGGGUGCAAGCGUUAAUCGGAAUUACUGGGCGUAAAGCGAGCGCAGGCGGUUCUGUAAGACAGAUGUGAAAUCCCCGGGCUUAACCUGGGAAUUGCAUUUGUGACUGCAGAGCUAGAGUGUGUCAGAGGGAGGUAGAAUUCCGCGUGUAGCAGUGAAAUGCGCAGAUAUGCGGAGGAAUACCGGUGGCGAAGGCGGCCUCCUGGGAUAACACUGACGCUCAUGCUCGAAAGCGUGGGGAGCAAACAGGAUUAGAUACCCUGGUAGUCCACGCCCUAAACGAUGUCUACUAGUUGUCGGGUCUUUAUUGACUUGGUAACGCAGCUAACGCGUGAAGUAGACCGCCUGGGGAGUACGGUCGCAAGAUUA
This 371-nucleotide ribosomal RNA is filed under the name uncultured bacterium. Its description in RNAcentral is "bacterial SSU rRNA". It matches the Rfam family "Bacterial small subunit ribosomal RNA", at positions 525 to 896 of the family's 1533-position model. The record is from RNAcentral.